GAAGAAGGCCUUCGGGUUGUAAACCGCUUUUGUCAGUGCAAGAAAUCCUUUGAGGCUAAUACCCUGGAGGGGAUGACGGUACCUAGAAGAAUAAGCACCAGGCUAACUACGUGCCAGCAGCCGCGGUAAUACGUACGGGUGCGAGCGUUAAUCCGGAAUUACUGGGCGUAAAGCGUGCGCAGGCGGUCAUACAAGACAGAUGUGAAAUCCCCGGGCUUAACCUGUGAACUGCAUUUGUGACUGUAUGGCUGGAGUACGGUACA
Molecule: ribosomal RNA, 263 nt
Filed under: uncultured bacterium
Lineage: Bacteria
Description: partial 16S ribosomal RNA
Rfam family: Bacterial small subunit ribosomal RNA
Source: RNAcentral